CCCCUCUCAGGAUCGCUCCUGGAGAGUUUCCAGUACUCUACCAGUCUUAGCUACGGGAGGGAGAGUCAAGCAGAGGCAUACCCAUUCCAUUUCUAGCUUGGGCGGUGGCUAGUGAGUGGAAGACAAUCUGCUACAGUC
Molecule: small nucleolar RNA, 138 nt
Organism: Tachyglossus aculeatus (Australian echidna)
Lineage: Eukaryota; Metazoa; Chordata; Mammalia; Monotremata; Tachyglossidae
Source: RefSeq, a predicted model, not a curated record